This 501-nucleotide long non-coding RNA is filed under the name Pongo abelii (Sumatran orangutan). RNAcentral describes it as "lincRNA". The record is from RNAcentral. Lineage: Eukaryota; Metazoa; Chordata; Mammalia; Primates; Hominidae.
CUUGCUCAUGCUUGACUGCUGCCAUGGUUGUGAGGCCUCCCCAGCCAUGUGGAACUGUUUUCAGGUGCUGGUUCCAUGGCUCUUCCUGAACUCAAAAUAAGGAAACUCCAUAGACACUGUCCACUGGAACUCGUUCCCAUCUACCCUCCACUCUGUCCAGCCCCAUGAGGACAAGGAACAUGACUGGUUUUGCUCACUGCCGUGUCUUCCGUACCUAGUACAUAACAGGACAUCAAUAAAUAUUAGUUGAAUGGAAGAUUAAAUCAACAAAAUGGGUGAUGGAUCUCUGCAGUGAGUAGAAGAGUUCCUCAUGGCCCCCAAGGUUAUAUCCAUCUAGAACUUCAGCAUGUAAUUUCAUUUGGAAAUAAUGCCUUUGCAGAUAUAAUUUAGGUAAAACUGGAGAUGAGAUCAUACUGGAUUAGGAUGGGAUCUAAAUCCAAUGAAAAUAUAUUCAUAAAAAACAGGAAAGAACCCAUAGAAACUCAAGGAAGAAGGUCAUGU